AUGCUUGUCAGGAAAUGUUUGGAUGUGUAGUGACGCAAGUGCCGGAGGGUUGCAUUUGGGCCCACUGUACCUCUUUUCUUCAGUCCCAGGGUGACACUAUUACCCAUAUCUGGAAGCUCAUACUGUUCUCUUCCACAGGUCUGGCGGUGUAUCCUUCCCAAGUGGCGUGGAUGUGAAGAAGAGACACGACAUUUCCCCCGAUGUUCCAUGGGCGACCUACUUGUGAUGUGGACCUGACCCUCCGCCAUGUAGCAGACAACCCCCUCAGGUCUGGCGGUGUAUCCUUCCCAAGUUGCGUGGAUGUGAAGAAGAGACACGACAUUUCCCCUGAUGUUCCAUGGGCGACCUACUUGUGAUGUGGACCUGACCCGCCGCCAUGUAGCAGACAACCCCCUCAGGUCUGGCGGUGUAUCCUUCCCAAGUGGCGUGGAUGUGAAGAAGAGACACGACAUUUCCCCUGAUGUUCCAUGGGCGACCUACUUGUGAUGUGGACCUGAUCCUCCGCCAUGUAGCAGACAACCCCCUCAGGUCUGGCGGUGUAUCCUUCCCAAGUGGCGUGGAUGUGAAGAAGAGACACGACAUUUCCCCCGAUGUUCCAUGGGCGACCUACUUGUGAUGUGGACCUGACCCUCCGCCAUGUAGCAGACAACCCCCUCAGGUCUGGCGGUGUAUCCUUCCCAAGUUGCGUGGAUGUGAAGAAGAGACACGACAUUUCCCCUGAUGUUCCAUGGGCGACCUACUUGUGAUGUGGACCUGACCCGCCGCCAUGUAGCAGACAACCCCCUCAGGUCUGGCGGUGUAUCCUUCCCAAGUGGCGUGGAUGUGAAGAAGAGACACGACAUUUCCCCUGAUGUUCCAUGGGCGACCUACUUAUGUACAAUCCAACUGCAUUUCAAAUUUUAAUAAAAACCACA
Long non-coding RNA from Pseudophryne corroboree (corroboree frog), 914 nucleotides. RefSeq lists it as uncharacterized. NCBI's taxonomy places the organism in Eukaryota, Metazoa, Chordata, Amphibia, Anura, Myobatrachidae. The transcript has 6 exons. The record is from RefSeq and is a predicted model, not a curated record.